Molecule: ribosomal RNA, 253 nt
Filed under: uncultured bacterium
Lineage: Bacteria
Description: partial 16S ribosomal RNA
Rfam family: Bacterial small subunit ribosomal RNA
Source: RNAcentral
UACAGAGGUGGCAAGCGUUGUUCGGAAUUACUGGGCGUAAAGGGCGCGUAGGCGGUUCGCUAAGUCCUGUGUGAAAUCCCCCGGCUCAACUGGGGAACUGCACAGGAAACUAGCGGGCUUGAGUUCGGGAGAGGGAAGCGGAAUUCCGGGUGUAGCGGUGAAAUGCGCAGAUAUCAGGAAGAACACCCGUGGCGAAGGCGGUUCUCUGGGACGGUACUGACGCUGAGACGCGAAAGCGUGGGGAGCGAACAGG